GGAGGAGUGCGCCGAGUGGCAAGGCAGCAGGUUGCUAACCUGCGACGGGUAAAACCCCGUCCGUGGGUUCGAUUCCCACCUCCUCCG
Molecule: transfer RNA, 87 nt
Filed under: Candidatus Parcubacteria bacterium
Lineage: Bacteria; Candidatus Parcubacteria
Description: tRNA-Ser
Rfam family: tRNA
About the family: Transfer RNA (tRNA) molecules are approximately 80 nucleotides in length. Their secondary structure includes four short double-helical elements and three loops (D, anti-codon, and T loops).
Source: RNAcentral